Long non-coding RNA from Anopheles arabiensis, 828 nucleotides. RefSeq lists it as uncharacterized. Lineage: Eukaryota; Metazoa; Arthropoda; Insecta; Diptera; Culicidae. The transcript has 2 exons. The record is from RefSeq and is a predicted model, not a curated record.
ACCUGAUAUUCAUACACUUUGGUAAAAACAUUCAGCCACUUUCCCAAACUCGAUCGAAUUCGGAAACAAUCGUAGCGAUUGUGAAAAUGACAUAAUAUUGGGGUUUCCGUGAAUGUUUUUUUAACAUUUUGCCAUAUUGUACGCAUAACUGAGCAGGAUGCUCAUGAAAUAAAUUAAAGCAGCAGUUGUAUCGGGGCAACUAUCGUUCCUCUUCGAUCGAGUUUGGGAAAUUGGCUGAUUAACAACAUUUUCAUAACUUAUUUGCUAAAAUUACUCUAGUCGGAAAUAUAUGAGUCAUGUGUUUAAGAGAGCGAUACAGGAAAUGGAUCCCAGAUCACUUCAGGACACUACACUAAUUACUAUAAUGACGAGUCUUACCAAUGUCGGAUCUUUAUGGUUGAAUUAUUGAACAGCGUGAUAUCUUGAUCAUGAGACUCCGUUGGGUUUUACAGGUUAUUUUGACAUUCCUAUGGCAUCAAACGAGGGGUCGUCCAGGCAGUCGUUCAAGGUUGGCUGCCAGGAGAGUUGAGCGCCGCCUUAGGUUCAAGCUUUAUAAGAUUGUCCAAUGACGAUGGCGUCAGCCUCUUCUACAACCAACCAUGGUCGUAAAGCGUUUUCGUGGACAUCGUCGAGCUAUCCACCUUCCACUUCAGUCACCAAUAAAGCACAAGAUACGCAAAAGAACAUGUUUUCUUUCCACCACAGGCUGUUAGGACUGAUCGGGCUUUACGGUUUUAUUUAUGCCGAUGGAAAUUAGAACACGUUAUACCAAUAAAGUACGCAUGCCUGGGAGGAGGACAGCCUACCAGUGCGUAAACCACACCACCA